RNAcentral lists this ribosomal RNA (484 nucleotides) under uncultured bacterium. RNAcentral describes it as "bacterial SSU rRNA". It matches the Rfam family "Bacterial small subunit ribosomal RNA", at positions 30 to 507 of the family's 1533-position model. The record is from RNAcentral.
AUUGAACGCUGGCGGAAUGCUUUACACAUGCAAGUCGAACGGCAGCACGGACUUCGGUCUGGUGGCGAGUGGCGAACGGGUGAGUAACAUAUCGGAACGUAUCCAAUAAUGGGGGAUAACUAAUCGAAAGGUUGGCUAAUACCGCAUACGCCCUGAGGGGGAAAGCUAGGGAUCUUCGGACCUGGCGUUAAUGGAGCGGCCGAUAUCUGAUUAGCUAGUUGGUGGGGUAAAGGCCCACCAAGGCGACGAUCAGUAGCUGGUCUGAGAGGACGACCAGCCACACUGGAACUGAGACACGGUCCAGACUCCUACGGGAGGCAGCAGUGGGGAAUUUUGGACAAUGGGCGCAAGCCUGAUCCAGCCAUUCCGCGUGAGUGAAGAAGGCCUUCGGGUUGUAAAGCUCUUUCAGCAGGAACGAAACGGCGAGUUCUAACAUAGCUCGUUAAUGACGGUACCUGAAGAAGAAGCACCGGCUAACUACGUG